GUUGUCCUUUGUUCUCUGCUGAAUUCUUAGCACCUGUAACCUCUCCGGAGUGAGCGCUUAGAAGUACAGGUUGAAUGAAUGAAUUAAAAGCCCCAGGUUUUUAGGAUACCUUAUGUGAAGCUAGAACAUUGUUUGGAAAAAGUGAGACCCUGAAUCCUGAAAUGGGAACAUAUGGGAAGAUACGGUGGGCUCCAAGUACCCUAAACUCCCAACCCUAUGAAAAUAUGCUACUCAGAUCAUCUGCUGCAGAGAGCAUCAUUGGCUGGUGGACCAAAUUGCUGCCUCCCUGGAUCCUCCACCCUCACACUGAGGCCAUGCUUCUCAUGGGCUACCCCUAACCAAUGACUGAGCAUGCCAGAAGCACCAAGGUAGUCCCAUUCUGGCAAGAAGUGAAACUCCUCCUCUAGGCAACUUCAACUUGAGGACUUCCUGCUGGACUGGCGAAACCUUUAUUUGAAUUGUGCUACAGUCCAAGAUUCUUCUUACACCAAUCUUCUUUCCUUCCCUUAUUCCUUCCACAGAUAUCAGACAGGCAUCACAGUCUAAAGCUCUCUCUAUCUUUUCCCAUUCCUUCCUUCAGUAAAGCUCAAGAACAUCUAUUCCCAUCUUGCCAUUGCUUCUUGGCACACCUGAAUUAAUGCAGCCUUCCUCGUCAGAGAAAAUCUCCCUUCAUGAUGAGGCUUUUUCCAUCUUUCAUGAAGACUCUGUAAUGUUAUUCUUUGUGGGAGUAACCUUACUGGAGGUAGGGGAAAACAAUUCUCUUCAUUCUUUGCUCCUAACAUCCCUCAUUGCCUUGAAUUCUAUAGUCAAUAAGGUGCUAGAGACAGGUUGUACCAACUCACAAAGGUCAACUGACAAAUUUUCAAGAAUUUAGUGAGCUGAUUGCUAAACACAACCAUUAUUAAAACAAAUUAUAUAUACUUACAGUUAAAUAAAUGAUGUGAAAAACAAAGAUAAUUACAAACUCAUCACUUCCUAGUUGACAGCUUUUUAUUAUUAUCUAUGCUGCUCAGAUUAUUUAUAUGUAUUAUAACUGGGUGUUGGAAAUACUCUAUAAUGGUGUGUCUUUGAAUUUUGGAGACCAGAUUUAGACAUGCUGUUUCAGCUAGUUUUUUUAAU
RNAcentral lists this long non-coding RNA (1119 nucleotides) under Homo sapiens (human). Its description in RNAcentral is "HSALNT0073915". Lineage: Eukaryota; Metazoa; Chordata; Mammalia; Primates; Hominidae. The record is from RNAcentral.